GAUGAACGCUGGCGGCGUGCCUAAUACAUGCAAGUCGAGCGAACAGACGAGGAGCUUGCUCCUCUGACGUUAUCGGCGGACGGGUGAGUAACACGUGGAUAACCUACCUAUAAGACUGGGAUAACUUCGGGAAACCGGAGCUAAUACCGGAUAAUAUAUUGACCCGCAUGGUUCAAUAGUGAAAGACGGUUUUGCUGUCACUUAUAGAUUGAUCCGCGCCGCAUUAGCUAGUUGGUAAGGUAACGGCUUACCAAGGCAACGAUGCGUAGCCGACCUGAACGGGAGAACGGACACACUGGAACUGAGACCCGGUCCAGACUCCUACGGGAGGCAGCAGUAGGGAAUCUUCCGCAAUGGGCGAAAGCCGGACGGAGCAACGCCGCGUGAGGGAUGAAGGUCUUCGGAUCGGAAAACUCUGUUAGUAGGGAAGAACAAAUGUGUAAGUAACUAUGCACGUCUUGACGGUACCUAAUCAGAAAGCCACGGCUAACUACGUG
Molecule: ribosomal RNA, 497 nt
Filed under: uncultured bacterium
Lineage: Bacteria
Description: partial 16S ribosomal RNA
Rfam family: Bacterial small subunit ribosomal RNA
Source: RNAcentral